UACGUAGGGUGCGAGCGUUGUCCGGAAUUAUUGGGCGUAAAGAGCUUGUAGGCGGUUUGUCGCGUCUGCUGUGAAAUCUCAAGGCUCAACCUUGAGCUUGCAGUGGGUACGGGCAGACUAGAGUGUGGUAGGGGAGACUGGAAUUCCUGGUGUAGCGGUGAAAUGCGCAGAUAUCAGGAGGAACACCGAUGGCGAAGGCAGGUCUCUGGGCCACUACUGACGCUGAGAAGCGAAAGCGUGGGUAGCAAACAGG
Molecule: ribosomal RNA, 253 nt
Filed under: uncultured bacterium
Lineage: Bacteria
Description: partial 16S ribosomal RNA
Rfam family: Bacterial small subunit ribosomal RNA
Source: RNAcentral